GACGAACGCUGGCGGCGCGCUUAACACAUGCAAGUCGAGCGAAGCGGCGGACGGGUGAGUAACACGUGAGUAAACUGCCUUAGACAUUGGGAUAGACUCGGGAAACCGGGAUUAAUACAAAAUGGUCUAAGAUGGACUCGCGUCCCAUUAGCUAGGUGGUGAGGUAACGGCCCACCAAGGAGACGAUGGGUAGCCGGCCUGAGAGGGUGGACGGCCACAUUGGAACUGAGCAGCGGUCCAAACGCUACGGGAGGCAGCAGUGGGGAAUAUUGCACUAUGGAGUGAACUCUGAUGCAGCGACGCCGCGUGAGCUAAGAAGGCUUUCGAGUCGUAAAGUUCUUUUAUAUGGGAAGCGGUACCAUAAGAAAAAGCCCCGGCUAACUACGUGCCAGCAGCCGCGGUAAUUC
This 407-nucleotide ribosomal RNA is filed under the name uncultured bacterium. Its description in RNAcentral is "partial 16S ribosomal RNA". It matches the Rfam family "Bacterial small subunit ribosomal RNA", at positions 28 to 526 of the family's 1533-position model. The record is from RNAcentral.